GGUUAAGCGACUAAGCGUACACGGUGGAUGCCCUGGCAGUCAGAGGCGAUGAAGGACGUGCUAAUCUGCGAUAAGCGUCGGUAAGGUGAUAUGAACCGUUAUAACCGGCGAUUUCCGAAUGGGGAAACCCAGUGUGUUUCGACACACUAUCAUUAACUGAAUCCAUAGGUUAAUGAGGCGAACCGGGGGAACUGAAACAUCUAAGUACCCCGAGGAAAAGAAAUCAACCGAGAUUCCCCCAGUAGCGGCGAGCGAACGGGGAGGAGCCCAGAGCCUGAAUCAGUGUGUGUGUUAGUGGAAGCGUCUGGAAAGGCGCGCGAUACAGGGUGACAGCCCCGUACACAAAAAUGCACAUGCUGUGAGCUCGAUGAGUAGGGCGGGACACGUGGUAUCCUGUCUGAAUAUGGGGGGACCAUCCUCCAAGGCUAAAUACUCCUGACUGACCGAUAGUGAACCAGUACCGUGAGGGAAAGGCGAAAAGAACCCCGGCGAGGGGAGUGAAAAAGAACCUGAAACCGUGUACGUACAAGCAGUGGGAGCACGCUUAGGCGUGUGACUGCGUACCUUUUGUAUAAUGGGUCAGCGACUUAUAUUCUGUAGCAAGGUUAACCGAAUAGGGGAGCCGAAGGGAAACCGAGUCUUAACUGGGCGUUAAGUUGCAGGGUAUAGACCCGAAACCCGGUGAUCUAGCCAUGGGCAGGUUGAAGGUUGGGUAACACUAACUGGAGGACCGAACCGACUAAUGUUGAAAAAUUAGCGGAUGACUUGUGGCUGGGGGUGAAAGGCCAAUCAAACCGGGAGAUAGCUGGUUCUCCCCGAAAGCUAUUUAGGUAGCGCCUCGUGAAUUCAUCUCCGGGGGUAGAGCACUGUUUCGGCAAGGGGGUCAUCCCGACUUACCAACCCGAUGCAAACUGCGAAUACCGGAGAAUGUUAUCACGGGAGACACACGGCGGGUGCUAACGUCCGUCGUGAAGAGGGAAACAACCCAGACCGCCAGCUAAGGUCCCAAAGUCAUGGUUAAGUGGGAAACGAUGUGGGAAGGCCCAGACAGCCAGGAUGUUGGCUUAGAAGCAGCCAUCAUUUAAAGAAAGCGUAAUAGCUCACUGGUCGAGUCGGCCUGCGCGGAAGAUGUAACGGGGCUAAACCAUGCACCGAAGCUGCGGCAGCGACGCUUAUGCGUUGUUGGGUAGGGGAGCGUUCUGUAAGCCUGUGAAGGUGUGCUGUGAGGCAUGCUGGAGGUAUCAGAAGUGCGAAUGCUGACAUAAGUAACGAUAAAGCGGGUGAAAAGCCCGCUCGCCGGAAGACCAAGGGUUCCUGUCCAACGUUAAUCGGGGCAGGGUGAGUCGACCCCUAAGGCGAGGCCGAAAGGCGUAGUCGAUGGGAAA
RNAcentral lists this ribosomal RNA (1385 nucleotides) under Escherichia coli. RNAcentral describes it as "partial 23S ribosomal RNA". It matches the Rfam family "Bacterial large subunit ribosomal RNA", at positions 1 to 1425 of the family's 2925-position model. The record is from RNAcentral. Lineage: Bacteria; Pseudomonadati; Pseudomonadota; Gammaproteobacteria; Enterobacterales; Enterobacteriaceae.